Molecule: RNA transcript, 3357 nt
Organism: Gallus gallus (chicken)
Lineage: Eukaryota; Metazoa; Chordata; Aves; Galliformes; Phasianidae
Gene: TRMT10B
Gene name: tRNA methyltransferase 10B
Exons: 10
Source: RefSeq, a predicted model, not a curated record
GAGUAACGGGGGUAACCGGGAGGGCAGAGCGAGGUCAGCUGCGUGCAACGGGACCGCAGCACAGGAAAAGCAGCCCGGAACGAAACCGCCGAGGAUAAGCGGGGAGACGACACAGCGCUGCGGCCGAACCGAAGCACGGCGUGCGACGGCGCGGCGCCCGACGGCUCUCCUGGGCAGGGAACACCGCCACGACACACGCAAACACACACACACACACAGCACGGCAGCAGAACCGAGGCACGAAACGGCUCCGGAGCGCGGCGGUGCCGGCCGGCUCCCCGCCCUCCGCUCCGCCGUUGCUCGCCCCCGGGCGCAGCCGUCCGCCGCUACUCACGGGCAGGCCGCGCAGCAGGCGGGAGCCGCUCAUGGCCGUCCUCCGUCGCCGCCGGGGAGCGCAGCUGGGGGCCGAGCAGGGAGGUCGGGCUGAGCCGGCCCCGCCUCGCCCCGCCCCGCGGCGGCGGCGAUGGAGGGCGGCAGCGCGAUGGCGGACUCCGCGCCGGCGGAGGUGGAAGCGGCCAGCGAGGCGCUCGCGCUGCUGCGGCUCGAGUCGGCGGGGUCCGGCGAGGCGCCGUGCUCGAGGAACGUCCUUCGGAAGCGGAGGCGCUGGGAGCGGGUGUUGGCGGCGCGGCGGCGGCGGCGGCCGCAGGAGAGGGAGCGGAGCAGAGCGCGGCGACCCGAGGGCCGAGGUGGGGCGGCGCGGGGUGCGGGGCCGGGGUGGGCCGGGUAGGGCAGGGCUGCCCUCCGCGCUGUGCCCCGCAGGAGCCGCCCGGCAGCGCGGCAGGGCCCUGGCGGAGGAGCGGCUCCUGGAAGCCCGCUCGGCGGGCCCGCGGCUCUGCGUGGACCUCGGCGUGGCCGACCGCAUGACGCCCAAGGAGACGAGCCGGCUGGCCGCGCAGAUCCGCCGGCUGUACGGCGCUAACAGGCGGGCCGAGCGGCCCUUCUGGCUCUGCCUGACCGAGCUGGUGCCGGGAUCGCCCAUCCACCGCGAGUGCCUCCGCAUGAACGACGGCUUCUCCGGAUACUUGAUGGAAACGACUCAAGAAAGCUACCUGGAUCUGUUCCCUUUGGAUGCCAUUGUUUAUCUCACUCCUGACUCCGAGAACGUUCUCGAAGAUGUUGAUCCCGAAAAAGUGUACGUCCUCGGAGGCCUCGUGGAUGAAAGUAUACACAAGAACCUGACCCUGCAAAGGGCACAAGGGCAGUCCUUGCAAACAGCCCGCCUCCCAAUUCGUGAGUAUAUGGUAAAAUCCAUGAACACGAAGAACUACUACUCGGAGACGCUGGCAAUUAAUCAAGCCAGGGGGAAGAGGAUAACACAUUAUCCUCUCUCAGAUAAGCUACUUCACGCCUUGUUCACGAGACUUAAAGUCUUCGAUGUCUUAUCGACUUACUACAGAACCCAAAGUUGGCCAGAUGCUUUGAAAGCUGGAGUUUCUUCUGGAAAAGGCUACGUGCUUCCGGACGGAGAGAAAUCAGUGAAAAAUACCUCAGCGUGACAAUGCACAAGAAAACUCUUUUAUUUCCUGAAAGUUAAGGAGCUGUGCAAGCAAGAGUAGCAAACUGCAGAUUUCAAGCAGAGGCACCAGUGUGAAUGUGUGCAGAGAAAACAGCUCUGCCUAAAUUUACUUACGUACGGACCUCGGCAAGAGUGACAGAUUCUGCCUCAGCGGUACAGUGCUGGAAAUGACUUUACGCCCUGAACAGAAAACAGAAGCCAGCUGAGCCCUGAGAUCAACAAUGAGUCGUAACUGAUGUCUUGUGUCAGUACGUGAUAACGGACACUAUGGCCUGAGCAGAGAACGCUUCUGAUGCAUGUAAGAUAAUGCUACUUCAGCCACUGUCAGUUAAAAAACCCUGCAAACACACAGAAAAGCCAAACCUGCUAUCGGUGACUCUCCAAGAAGGAGUUGGAGGGCUUUGCAGGCUACGUCCUUCUGGGCAGACUCGUCUCUCCAAGGACUUCUGUCACGGCUGUGACUGAUGCUGCUCCUCUCCACGCUGCCCGCAGGGGAAAUGCUGCAGCACAGGCUGUAAUAGUCCAUGGAGUUUCCCUCAGACAGCUUGGUCCCCAGCACAGACACAUCACCGUCCACUCCCUUCUGCUCAGAGGGGCUGUGCUUACACCCAUGCUUCUCUGCUUCUGGUACCUGCAAGAAACAGAAGAAGUCUCUGGCUUCUGCUCUGCCAGAGCCUCCUGCAGCACAAACGGGGAAGAAGCUCUUGUCCAAGCUGUUCAUCUCAUGCACAGUGGGUGUGUAGAAGUGGAAAAAACUCUGGCCUGGAGGAAGAGCAGGCUUCCAACUCAUCUUCUUCCAGUGCGUCCAUUGAGUCACUUGAGCCGCUCGUCUUAAACCCUCGGCUCUCUGUGUUGGCUGAAUCAGAAGCAUCAGACGUGCUGUCUGCUGCACUGUCGCCCCCAUCCCGUUGGUUAUUCCCUCCAGCCUGGGGCUCUGUGCUGUCCUUUUCCAGGCUCUGAAGCUCUCCCAGCUUCUCCUCACGUGCAGGAUGGGUGCUGCUGUAUGCUGCAGGUGUGCCCGAGCAGUGCUCUGAGGAGGAAUCCAUUUCCCAGGAGUCUUCAGAAUCGCUGCAGGUUCGAGAUUCAUACCCUGUGAUUUAAACACAUCUGUCAGCCUGUGCUGUGCGGUGGCACAGAGGAGCAGUCAGAAAAGGCUUACAAACUUGGCCACACGGCAGUGAUUCGGGGCCAAGAGAGCUCUGCCCACACUUGCUCAUCAGUAAACCACGUAAAGAUGCACUCUGACCGACCUGCAGGGCCAUAACCUGUGAGCGGAGGCCCGGUUCUAUCUGCCUGCCUGCUCUGUCUGGCUUUACUGCAGAGCAGCGCCAAGGGGAGCUGCAGAAAAGCAGCCAGGUAACUUGCUGUCUGAAGACCGUCUGCAUCCCCUAUGGGACCAGAGCCACCCUGACAAGGGACAAGACAGCACGGCAAACAGAUUGCCCACCUCUCCUGGCCAGAGCGCAGCAGAGGUUGCUCAGGAGUUUGGUGAAGGAGCACAAGCGCCCAGAAACACGUCUGCCAUGUUGCUGACAGGCCCUUGGCCUCUCCUUGGGAAGAGCUGUCGCUUACUGCCGCCCUGCCCCAAGCCUAACACCUCUGGGGUUAAUGGAGAGCUGGCAGUGCUGGCGGUGAGGCUGACAUUCCACGUUCUGCAGAUGUCACCGAGCAUUCCCAGGCUACCACGACACCGUUCCCAGGAAGGAAUGACACUGCUACCACUGGAUGAUCGACCCGCUUCCUCCCCAUUCUUUGGCAAAUUAACCUUCUUCGGCUGAGACACGGUGUAGUUGCUCUCUUUUCUCUCCCCAAGUAAAUAUGGAGCCAUUUGCAUCCACAAA